RNAcentral lists this ribosomal RNA (258 nucleotides) under uncultured bacterium. Its description in RNAcentral is "partial 16S ribosomal RNA". It matches the Rfam family "Bacterial small subunit ribosomal RNA", at positions 524 to 777 of the family's 1533-position model. The record is from RNAcentral.
UACGGAGGGGGCUAGCGUUGUUCGGAAUUACUGGGCGUAAAGCGCACGUAGGCGGCUUUUGUAAAGUUAGAGGUGAAAAGCCCCGGGGCUCAACUCCGGAAUUGCCUUUAAGACUGCAUCGCUAGAAUUGUGGAGAGGUAAGUGGAAUUCCGAGUGUAGAGGUGAAAUUCGUAGAUAUUCGGAAGAACACCAGUGGCGAAGGCGACUUACUGGACACAUAUUGACGCUGAGGCACGAAAGCGUGGGGAGCAAACAGGA